RNAcentral lists this long non-coding RNA (919 nucleotides) under Phasianus colchicus (ring-necked pheasant). RNAcentral describes it as "lncRNA (ENSPCLG00000019399.1)". The record is from RNAcentral. Lineage: Eukaryota; Metazoa; Chordata; Aves; Galliformes; Phasianidae.
UGAAUUUUUCCUUAUUUUUUCCUGUUUUUCCCUUAUUUUCCCCUUAUUUCUCUUUUUUUCCCUUACAAUCCUUUCUUUUUCCUCAUUUUUCCCCUUAUUUUCCCUUAUUCCCCCUUUUUUUCCUUUUCUCCCUCGUUUUUUCCUUUCUUUCUUUUUUUUUCCCCUAUUUUUCCUCAUUUCCCCCUUUUUUCCCCUUAUUUCCCCUUUUUCCCCUUAUUUUUCCGGAUUUUUCCCUGAUUUUUCCUUUUUUCCCCUUAUUUUUCCUUCCCCCUCCCCAUUAUUUUUCCUUCCUUUUCUUUUUUCCCCUCAUUUUUUCCUUUUUCCCCUUAUUUUUCCUUUCCUUUUCCCCUAUUUUUCCUCAUUUCCUUUUUUCCUCCUUUUUCUUAUUUCCAUUUUCCCAAUUUUUUCCAUUUUUUUCCUUUUAUCUCAUAAUUUUCCAUUCUUUUUUUCUUAAUUUCCUUUCCCCCCUUUUUUUCCCAAUUAUUUUCCUUAUUUUCCCUCAUUUUUUCCUAUAUUCCCUGUUUUUAUUUUUUCCUUUAUUUUCUUCCCUUAUUUUUUCAUAUUUUUCCCUUUUUUCCUUUUUUUUUCCAUAUUUCCCCAUUUUUUUCCCUUAUUUUUCCCUUUUCCAUUUUUUCCCCUAUUAAAAAUUUCUCUUUUCCUCAUUUCUCCUUUUUUUCCCAUUUUCCUUUUUUUAUUUCUUAUUUUCCUGUCUCCCUUUUUCAAAUUAUUUUCCCCAUUUUUUCUUUUUUUUUUCCUGAUUUUUCCUUAUUUUUUCGAAUUUCCCCUUUUUAUUUUUUUUACACUCUUUUUUCUUCCCCUUUUUCCUUUUUUCCCCCAUAUUUUCCUUUUUUUUUCCUUUAUUUUUUCUCUUUCCUUUAUUUUUCCUUAUUUUUCCUUUUCUUUCUUUCUUUUUCCCCCU